GGAGGGUGCAAGCGUUAAUCGGAAUUACUGGGCGUAAAGCGCGCGUAGGUGGAUAUUUAAGUCGGAUGUGAAAGCCCUGGGCUCAACCUGGGAACUGCAUUCGAUACUGGGUAUCUAGAGUAUAGUAGAGGGAAGUGGAAUUUCUGGUGUAGCGGUGAAAUGCGUAGAUAUCAGAAAGAACAUCAGUGGCGAAGGCGACUUCCUGGACUAAUACUGACACUGAGGUGCGAAAGCGUGGGGGAGCAAACAGGAUUAGAGACCCUGGUAGUCAACGCCGUAAACGAUGAGAACUAGACGUUGGGAUCCAUUGGGUCUUAGUGUCGAAGCUAACGCGUUAAGUUCUCCGCCUGGGGAGUACGGCCGCAAGGUUA
RNAcentral lists this ribosomal RNA (371 nucleotides) under uncultured organism. Its description in RNAcentral is "partial 16S ribosomal RNA". It matches the Rfam family "Bacterial small subunit ribosomal RNA", at positions 527 to 896 of the family's 1533-position model. The record is from RNAcentral.